Molecule: ribosomal RNA, 505 nt
Filed under: uncultured bacterium
Lineage: Bacteria
Description: partial 16S ribosomal RNA
Rfam family: Bacterial small subunit ribosomal RNA
Source: RNAcentral
GACGAACGCUGGCGGCGUGCUUAACACAUGCAAGUCGAACGGUGAAGGGACUGGUUUUGCUGGUCCUGGAUGAGUGGCGAACGGGUGAGUAACACGUGAGUAACCUGCCCCCUUCUUCUGGAUAACCGCAUGAAAGUGUGGCUAAUACGGGAUAUUCUGGGUCUGUCGCAUGGUGGGCCUGGGAAAGAUUGCGCCUUUUUUGGUGUUUUUGGUGGGGGAUGGGCUCGCGGCCUAUCAGCUUGUUGGUGGGUGAUGGCCUACCAAGGCGGUGACGGGUAGCCGGCCUGAGAGGGUGGACGGUCACACUGGGACUGAGACACGGCCCAGACUCCUACGGGAGGCAGCAGUGGGGAAUAGUGCACAAUGGGCGCAAGCCUGAUGCAGCGACGCCGCGUGAGGGAUGGAGGCCUUCGGGUUGUGAACCUCUUUCGCCAGUGAAGCGGGCCUGCCUCUUUUUGUGGGUGGGUUGACGGUAGCUGGAUAAGAAGCGCCGGCUAACUACGUG